This 224-nucleotide unclassified non-coding RNA is filed under the name Hevea brasiliensis (rubber tree). Lineage: Eukaryota; Viridiplantae; Streptophyta; Magnoliopsida; Malpighiales; Euphorbiaceae. The record is from RNAcentral.
GCUAGCUAACAUGUCAGUCCCACACGUUGAAAAAAGUUUUGAAGAAAAUUGAGCCCAAGUGAGUUGCGGAUGCUGUUAACGAAGCCACCUCAACCAAUGUAUUGUGUUACCCCGCAUGCAGAUUAAAGCCAUAGAUUUUUUUUCAAUCUUCUCGAGUGCCAUGAAUCUCAAAAUAGUACUCAGCAUAGGUUAGCCAUCCCAAUGGGUCCUCGUCUUCAAACAUG